AAGCUAAUUCCAUCAUCACUUACCAUUUCUCAGCCAAAGAUGGCAUUUGUGAGAUCGGGUUUGAGACAGAAGGGAAAGAAGAGGAGAAACUGAAGGUGAAGAAUGCGAAUGUGGUGGGAAUGAUGCAGCGAUGGUAUCUGUCUGGAAGUAGAGGAGUCUCUCCUUCGACCAUUGUCUCCCUCGCCGAUGAGCUGUCCACACUUUUAACCUAGAAUCCCUUAUAAAAAAAUGUUGUGUGUGUGUUGUUUUAUGUCGCUGUUAAAUAAGACAUUGUGUUUGGUUAUCUUUAUAAGAUGAUUAAUGCAUAGUCGGAAAAAAAAGGAUGUUGAUUUUGUUGAAAUUUAUAAACAUCAUCUUGUUCUUGUUA
Molecule: long non-coding RNA, 367 nt
Organism: Camelina sativa (false flax)
Lineage: Eukaryota; Viridiplantae; Streptophyta; Magnoliopsida; Brassicales; Brassicaceae
Source: RefSeq, a predicted model, not a curated record